This 73-nucleotide transfer RNA is filed under the name Flavobacterium okayamense. RNAcentral describes it as "tRNA-His". It matches the Rfam family "tRNA". From Rfam's summary of the family: Transfer RNA (tRNA) molecules are approximately 80 nucleotides in length. Their secondary structure includes four short double-helical elements and three loops (D, anti-codon, and T loops). The record is from RNAcentral. Lineage: Bacteria; Pseudomonadati; Bacteroidota; Flavobacteriia; Flavobacteriales; Flavobacteriaceae.
GGUGUUUUUAGCUUAUUUGGUAAAGCAUUGAACUGUGAAUUCAAAGAACAGGGUUCGAUUCCCGAAAACACCC